UGGUUCAGUGGUAGAAUCCUUGUCUCUGACACAGGAGACCUGGGUUCAGUUCCCAG
This is a transfer RNA of Alligator mississippiensis (American alligator), 56 nucleotides long. It matches the Rfam family "tRNA", at positions 8 to 63 of the family's 71-position model. From Rfam's summary of the family: Transfer RNA (tRNA) molecules are approximately 80 nucleotides in length. Their secondary structure includes four short double-helical elements and three loops (D, anti-codon, and T loops). Further hydrogen bonds mediate the characteristic L-shaped molecular structure. tRNAs have two regions of fundamental functional importance: the anti-codon, which is responsible for specific mRNA codon recognition, and the 3' end, to which the tRNAs corresponding amino acid is attached (by aminoacyl-tRNA synthetases). tRNAs cope with the degeneracy of the genetic code in two manners: having more than one tRNA (with a specific anti-codon) for a particular amino acid; and 'wobble' base-pairing, i.e. permitting non-standard base-pairing at the 3rd anti-codon position. The record is from Rfam. NCBI's taxonomy places the organism in Eukaryota, Metazoa, Chordata, Crocodylia, Alligatoridae.